This 228-nucleotide ribosomal RNA is filed under the name uncultured bacterium. RNAcentral describes it as "partial 16S ribosomal RNA". It matches the Rfam family "Bacterial small subunit ribosomal RNA", at positions 568 to 795 of the family's 1533-position model. The record is from RNAcentral.
CACGUAGGCGGCCUGGUAAGUCAGAUGUGAAAGCCCGGGGCUUAACCCCGGAAGUGCAUUUGGUACUGUCAGGCUUGAGUAUGGGAGAGGGAAGUGGAAUUCCUGGUGUAGAGGUGAAAUUCGUAGAUAUCAGGAGGAACACCGGUGGCGAAGGCGACUUCCUGGACCAAUACUGACGCUGAGGUGCGAAGGCGUGGGUAGCAAACAGGAUUAGAUACCCUGGUAGUC